Molecule: transfer RNA, 72 nt
Filed under: Siderolamprus enneagrammus
Lineage: Eukaryota; Metazoa; Chordata; Lepidosauria; Squamata; Diploglossidae
Description: Celestus enneagrammus tRNA-Val
Source: RNAcentral
AAUCAAAAGCCUUCAGCUUACAAUUGAACAAUGCUAGUGCAGAUCUAGCCUUUAUGAGCCCACUCUAGCUCA